CUAAACUUCUACCUGACUUUGACAAGAUUGGAGAGAGCCUCAGUUCCCUGAAGGGCUUUUUCUCACCUGGUUACAAUUUGGUUAGUGAAGUCAUAGGAGCUUCUGAUCUGCUUCUCUUGUUAGGUUCCCAAGGAGAAACAGCAUUCAGAGCUACAGACCAGGGAUAUGAAAAUGACAAACAGUACAAAAAGGU
Molecule: long non-coding RNA, 193 nt
Organism: Terrapene triunguis (Three-toed box turtle)
Lineage: Eukaryota; Metazoa; Chordata; Testudines; Emydidae
Exons: 3
Source: RefSeq, a predicted model, not a curated record